GUGCAGGUAAAGUUACAAUGUAGCUGCGUAGUGCUGUAUUGUCGUUCCCCCUGCACAAAGCAAAAUUGUCUCUUUUCUAUCCUUGUCUGUUUUGAUUCCACGGCAGACAAGGACGCUUGGUUUCAUACAU
This is a small nucleolar RNA of Zootoca vivipara (common lizard), 130 nucleotides long. RefSeq annotates it as small nucleolar RNA SNORA63. The record is from RefSeq and is a predicted model, not a curated record. NCBI's taxonomy places the organism in Eukaryota, Metazoa, Chordata, Lepidosauria, Squamata, Lacertidae.